Molecule: ribosomal RNA, 448 nt
Filed under: uncultured bacterium
Lineage: Bacteria
Description: bacterial SSU rRNA
Rfam family: Bacterial small subunit ribosomal RNA
Source: RNAcentral
UCGAGAAUUUUUCUCAAUGGGCGAAAGCCUGAAGGAGCGACGCCGCGUGGGGGAUGAAUGGCUUCGGCCCGUAAACCCCUGUCAUUUGCGAACAAACCUCGUUAUUUAAAAGAUGACGAGCUGAUUGUAGCGAAAGAGGAAGGGACGGCUAACUCUGUGCCAGCAGCCGCGGUAAUACAGAGGUCCCAAGCGUUGUUCGGAUUCACUGGGCGUAAAGGGUGCGUAGGUGGCCGGGUAAGUCUGAUGUGAAAUCUCCGAGCCUAACUCGGAAACUGCAUCGGAUACUAUUCGGCUGGAGGGUUGGAGGGGGGACUGGAAUACUUGGUGUAGCAGUGAAAUGCGUAGAUAUCAAGUGGAACACCAGUGGCGAAGGCGAGUCCCUGGACAACUCCUGACACUGAGGCACGAAAGCUAGGGGAGCAAACAGGAUUAGAUACCCCCGUAGUCC